GAUGAAGAACGCAGCGAAAUGCGAUAAGUAAUGUGAAUUGCAGAAUUCAGUGAAUCAUCGAAUCUUUGAACGCACAUUGCGCCCGCCAGCACUCUGGCGGGCAUGCCUGUCCGAGCGUCAUUUCAACCAUCAAGCCCCCGGGCUUGUGUUGGGGACCUGCGGCUGCCCGCAGGCCCUGAAAACCAGUGGCGGGCUCGCUGUCACACCGAGCGUAGUAGCAAUCACCUCGCUCAGGGCGUGCUGCGGGUUCCGGCCGUUAAACAGCCUUACAAAACCCAAGGUUGACCUCGGAUCAGGUAGGAAGACCCGCUGAACUUAAGCAUAUCAAUAAGCGGAGGA
RNAcentral lists this unclassified non-coding RNA (339 nucleotides) under soil metagenome. Its description in RNAcentral is "partial contains 5.8S ribosomal RNA, internal transcribed spacer 2, and large subunit ribosomal RNA". The stretch from base 1 to 120 matches the Rfam family "5.8S ribosomal RNA", at positions 35 to 154 of the family's 154-position model. The record is from RNAcentral.